AUGAACGCUGGCGGCGUGCUUAACACAUGCAAGUCGAACGGGAAACCUUUUAUUGAAGCUUCGGCAGAUUUAGCUGGUUUCUAGUGGCGGACGGGUGAGUAACGCGUGGGUAACCUGCCUUAUACAGGGGGAUAACAGUCAGAAAUGGCUGCUAAUACCGCAUAAGCGCACAGAGCUGCAUGGCUCAGUGUGAAAAACUCCGGUGGUAUAAGAUGGACCCGCGUUGGAUUAGCUGGUUGGUGGGGUAACGGCCCACCAAGGCGACGAUCCAUAGCCGGCCUGAGAGGGUGAACGGCCACAGUGGGACUGAGACACGGCCCAGACUCCUACGGGAGGCAGCAGUGGGGAAUAUUGCACAAUGGGGGAAACCCUGAUGCAGCGACGCCGCGUGAAGGAAGAAGUAUCUCGGUAUGUAAACUUCUAUCAGCAGGGAAGAUAAUGACGGUACCUGACUAAGAAGCCCCGGCUAACUACGUG
This 477-nucleotide ribosomal RNA is filed under the name uncultured bacterium. RNAcentral's name for it is "partial 16S ribosomal RNA". It matches the Rfam family "Bacterial small subunit ribosomal RNA", at positions 29 to 507 of the family's 1533-position model. The record is from RNAcentral.